CAUGCAAGUCGAGCGGUAGAUGCUUUCGGGCAUUGAGAGCGGCGGACGGGUGAGUAACGCGUGGGAAUCUGGCUCUUAGAGGGGGACAACUUGUGGAAACGCAAGCUAAUACCGCAUACGCCCUAAGGGGGAAAGCAGGGGAUCUUCGGACCUUGCGCUAAGAGAUGAGCCCGCGUCGGAUUAGCUAGUUGGUAGGGUAAAGGCCUACCAAGGCGACGAUCCGUAACUGGUCUGAGAGGAUGAUCAGUCACACUGGAACUGAGACACGGUCCAGACUCCUACGGGAGGCAGCAGUGGGGAAUAUUGGACAAUGGGGGCAACCCUGAUCCAGCCAUGCCGCGUGUGUGAAGAAGGCCUUCGGGUUGUAAAGCACUUUAAGUUGGGAGGAAAGGGUGCUGGCUAAUAUCCAGUAUCUAUGACGUUACCAACAGAAUAAGCACCGGCUAACUCCGUGCCAGCAGCCGCGGUAAUACGGAGGGUGCAAGCGUUAAUCGGAAUUACUGGGCGUAAAGCGCGCGUAGGCGGCUAGUUAAGCUAGAUGUGAAAUCCCUGGGCUCAACCUGGGAACUGCAUUUAGAACUGACUGGCUAGAGUGCAGAAGAGGAGUGUGGAAUUUCCGGUGUAGCGGUGAAAUGCGUAGAGAUCGGAAGGAACAUCAGUGGCGAAGGCGACACUCUGGUCUGACACUGACGCUGAGGUG
Molecule: ribosomal RNA, 700 nt
Filed under: uncultured bacterium
Lineage: Bacteria
Description: bacterial SSU rRNA
Rfam family: Bacterial small subunit ribosomal RNA
Source: RNAcentral